RNAcentral lists this ribosomal RNA (420 nucleotides) under Bradyrhizobium japonicum. RNAcentral describes it as "bacterial SSU rRNA". It matches the Rfam family "Bacterial small subunit ribosomal RNA", at positions 61 to 525 of the family's 1533-position model. The record is from RNAcentral. Lineage: Bacteria; Pseudomonadati; Pseudomonadota; Alphaproteobacteria; Hyphomicrobiales; Nitrobacteraceae.
GUCGAGCGGGCGUAGCAAUACGUCAGCGGCAGACGGGUGAGUAACGCGUGGGAACGUACCUUUUGGUUCGGAACAACACAGGGAAACUUGUGCUAAUACCGGAUAAGCCCUUACGGGGAAAGAUUUAUCGCCGAAAGAUCGGCCCGCGUCUGAUUAGCUAGUUGGUAGGGUAAUGGCCUACCAAGGCGACGAUCAGUAGCUGGUCUGAGAGGAUGAUCAGCCACAUUGGGACUGAGACACGGCCCAAACUCCUACGGGAGGCAGCAGUGGGGAAUAUUGGACAAUGGGGGCAACCCUGAUCCAGCCAUGCCGCGUGAGUGAUGAAGGCCCUAGGGUUGUAAAGCUCUUUUGUGCGGGAAGAUAAUGACGGUACCGCAAGAAUAAGCCCCGGCUAACUUCGUGCCAGCAGCCGCGGUAAUA